This 197-nucleotide unclassified non-coding RNA is filed under the name plant metagenome. Its description in RNAcentral is "partial contains small subunit ribosomal RNA, internal transcribed spacer 1, and 5.8S ribosomal RNA". The record is from RNAcentral.
UCUCCGUUGGUGAACCAGCGGAGGGAUCAUUACCGAGUUUACAACUCCCAAACCCCUGUGAACAUACCUAUCGUUGCCUCGGCGGUGCCCGCUCCGGCGGCCCGCCAGAGGACCCCCAAACUCCUGUUUUAUACAGUAUCUUCUGAGUAACACGAUUAAAUAAAUCAAAAUUUUCAACAACGGAUCUCUUGGUUCUG